UUUUCAAUGAUGAUUUUCGUUUUUACCUUGGGACACCUAUGAAAUGCCUUGAUUAGUGUAAAGUUAUGUUUUUCUGAUGACAA
Molecule: small nucleolar RNA, 83 nt
Filed under: Drosophila erecta
Lineage: Eukaryota; Metazoa; Arthropoda; Insecta; Diptera; Drosophilidae
Description: snoRNA:GG26020
Rfam family: Small nucleolar RNA Me28S-Gm3113
About the family: Me28S-Gm3113 is a member of the C/D class of snoRNA which contain the C (UGAUGA) and D (CUGA) box motifs. This family directs 2'-O-methylation of 28S G-3113.
Source: RNAcentral